GCCGGGCGUGGUGGCUCAAGCCUGUAAUCCCAGCACUUUGGGAGGCUGAGGCGGGUGGAUCACCUGAGGUCAGGAGUUCGAGAUCAGCCUGGCCAACAAGGUGAAACCCCGUCUCUA
Unclassified non-coding RNA from Callithrix jacchus (white-tufted-ear marmoset), 117 nucleotides. It matches the Rfam family "Metazoan signal recognition particle RNA". From Rfam's summary of the family: The signal recognition particle (SRP) is a universally conserved ribonucleoprotein. NCBI's taxonomy places the organism in Eukaryota, Metazoa, Chordata, Mammalia, Primates, Cebidae. The record is from Ensembl.